UACGUAGGGUGCAAGCGUUAAUCGGAAUUACUGGGCGUAAAGGGCUCGUAGGUGGCCAACUAAGUCAGACGUGAAAUCCCUCAGCUUAACUGGGGAACUGCGUCUGAUACUGGAUGGCUUGAGUUUGGGAGAGGGAUGCGGAAUUCCAGGUGUAGCGGUGAAAUGCGUAGAUAUCUGGAGGAACACCCGUGGCGAAGGCGGCUCUCUGGGACGGUACUGACGCUGAGACGCGAAAGCGUGGGGAGCGAACAGG
RNAcentral lists this ribosomal RNA (253 nucleotides) under uncultured bacterium. RNAcentral describes it as "partial 16S ribosomal RNA". It matches the Rfam family "Bacterial small subunit ribosomal RNA", at positions 524 to 776 of the family's 1533-position model. The record is from RNAcentral.